CCAAGUUUUUAAGGGCGCACGGUGGAUGCCUUGGCACCAGGAACCGAUGAAGGACGUGGGAGGCCACGAUAGUCCCCGGGGAGCCGUCAACCAGGCUUUGAUCCGGGGGUUUCCGAAUGGGGAAACCCGGCAGUCGUCAUGGGCUGUCACCCGCUGCUGAACACAUAGGCAGUGUGGAGGGAACGCGGGGAAGUGAAACAUCUCAGUACCCGCAGGAAGAGAAAACAACCGUGAUUCCGGGAGUAGUGGCGAGCGAAACCGGAUGAGGCCAAACCGUAUACGUGUGAGACCCGGCAGGGGUUGCGUGUGCGGGGUUGUGGGAUCUCUCUUUCACAGUCUGCCGGCUGUGAGGCGAGUCAGAAACCGUUGAUGUAGGCGAAGGACAUGCGAAAGGUCCGGCGUAGAGGGUAAGACCCCCGUAGUCGAAACAUCAGCGGCUCGUUUGAGAGACACCCAAGUAGCACGGGGCCCGAGAAAUCCCGUGUGAAUCUGGCGGGACCACCCGCUAAGCCUAAAUAUUCCCUGGUGACCGAUAGCGGAUAGUACCGUGAGGGAAUGGUGAAAAGUACCGCGGGAGCGGAGUGAAAUAGUACCUGAAACCGUGUGCCUACAAGCCGUGGGAGCGUCGGACAUCAAGCUUGCUUGGUGUCUCGUGACUGCGUGCCUUUUGAAGAAUGAGCCUGCGAGUUUGCGGUGUGUUGCGAGGUUAACCCGAGUGGGGAAGCCGUAGCGAAAGCGAGUCCGAAUAGGGCGUUUCAGUAGCACGCUCAAGACCCGAAGCGGAGUGAUCUAGCCAUGGGCAGGUUGAAGCGGAGGUAAGACUUCGUGGAGGACCGAACCCACCAGGGUUGAAAACCUGGGGGAUGACCUGUGGUUAGGGGUGAAAGGCCAAUCAAACUCCGUGAUAGCUGGUUCUCCCCGAAAUGCAUUUAGGUGCAGCGUCGUGUGUUUCUUGCCGGAGGUAGAGCACUGGAUAGGCGAUGGGCCCUACCGGGUUACUGACCUUAGCCAAACUCCGAAUGCCGGUAAGUGAGAGCGCGGCAGUGAGACUGUGGGGGAUAAGCUCCAUGGUCGAGAGGGAAACAGCCCAGAGCAUCGACUAAGGCCCCUAAGCGUACGCUAAGUGGGAAAGGAUGUGGAGUCGCACAGACAACCAGGAGGUUGGCUUAGAAGCAGCCACCCUUGAAAGAGUGCGUAAUAGCUCACUGGUCUAGUGAUUCCGCGCCGACAAUGUAGCGGGGCUCAAGCGUACCGCCGAAGUCGUGUCAUUCAUACAUUAGGGCCAACGCCUGUAUGGAUGGGUAGGGGAGCGUCGUGUGCCGGGUGAAGCAGCCGCGGAAGCGAGUUGUGGACGGUUCACGAGUGAGAAUGCAGGCAUGAGUAGCGAUACAAACGUGAGAAACGUUUGCGCCGAUUGACUAAGGGUUCCUGGGUCAAGCUGAUCUGCCCAGGGUAAGUCGGGACCUAAGGCGAGGCCGACAGGCGUAGUCGAUGGAUAACCGGUUGAUAUUCCGGUACCCGCUGUGAAGCGUCAAACAUCGAGCAUCGUGAUGCUAAGGCCGUGAAGCCGCCCUGAUCUCUUCGGAGUUGAGGGGAGUGGUGGAGCCGCCGGACCAAGCGGUUAGUAGGUGAGUGAUGGGGUGACGCAGGAAGGUAGUCCAUCCCGGGCGGUGGUUGUCCCGGGGUAAGGGUGUAGGCCGUGCGGUAGGUAAAUCCGUCGCACACAAGGCUGAGACCUGAUGCCGAGCCGAUUGUGGUGAAGUGGAUGAUCCUAUGCUGUCGAGAAAAGCCUCUAGCGAGUUUCAUGGCGGCCCGUACCCUAAACCGACUCAGGUGGUCAGGUAGAGAAUACCGAGGCGUUCGGGUGAACUAUGGUUAAGGAACUCGGCAAAAUGCCCCCGUAACUUCGGGAGAAGGGGGGCCACACCUGGUGAUGAUCUUUACGGUCUGAGCUGGGGGUGGCCGCAGAGACCAGCGAGAAGCGACUGUUUACUAAAAACACAGGUCCGUGCGAAGCCGUAAGGCGAUGUAUACGGACUGACGCCUGCCCGGUGCUGGAACGUUAAGGGGACCGGUUAGCUCCAUUUCGGUGGGGCGAAGCUGAGAACUUAAGCGCCAGUAAACGGCGGUGGUAACUAUAACCAUCCUAAGGUAGCGAAAUUCCUUGUCGGGUAAGUUCCGACCUGCACGAAUGGCGUAACGACUUCUCGACUGUCUCAACCAUAGGCCCGGUGAAAUUGCACUACGAGUAAAGAUGCUCGUUUCGCGCAGCAGGACGGAAAGACCCCGGGACCUUUACUACAGUUUGAUAUUGGUGUUCGGUUCGGCUUGUGUAGGAUAGCUGGGAGACUUUGAAGCUCGCACGCCAGUGUGGGUGGAGUCGUCGUUGAAAUACCAGUCUGGUCGUGCUGGAUGUCUAACCUGGGUCCGUGAUCCGGAUCAGGGACAGUGUCUGAUGGGUAGUUUAACUGGGGCGGUUGCCUCCUAAAGAGUAACGGAGGCGCCCAAAGGUUCCCUCAGCCUGGUUGGCAAUCAGGUGUUGAGUGUAAGUGCACAAGGGAGCUUGACUGUGAGACCGACGGGUCGAGCAGGGACGAAAGUCGGGACUAGUGAUCCGGCGGUGGCUUGUGGAAGCGCCGUCGCUCAACGGAUAAAAGGUACCCCGGGGAUAACAGGCUGAUCUUCCCCAAGAGUCCAUAUCGACGGGAUGGUUUGGCACCUCGAUGUCGGCUCGUCGCAUCCUGGGGCUGGAGUCGGUCCCAAGGGUUGGGCUGUUCGCCCAUUAAAGCGGUACGCGAGCUGGGUUUAGAACGUCGUGAGACAGUUCGGUCCCUAUCCGCUGUGCGCGUAGGAGUCUUGAGAAGGGCUGUCCCUAGUACGAGAGGACCGGGACGGACGAACCUCUGGUGUGCCAGUUGUCCUGCCAAGGGCAUGGCUGGUUGGCUACGUUCGGGAGGGAUAACCGCUGAAAGCAUCUAAGCGGGAAGCCUGCUUCGAGAUGAGGACUCCCACCCCCUUGAGGGGUUAAGGCUCCCAGUAGACGACUGGGUUGAUAGGCCGGAUCUGGAAGCACCGCAAGGUGUGGAGGUGACCGGUACUAAUAGGCCGAGGGCUUGUCCUC
RNAcentral lists this ribosomal RNA (3121 nucleotides) under Streptomyces ambofaciens ATCC 23877. Its description in RNAcentral is "bacterial LSU rRNA". It matches the Rfam family "Bacterial large subunit ribosomal RNA". Lineage: Bacteria; Bacillati; Actinomycetota; Actinomycetes; Kitasatosporales; Streptomycetaceae. The record is from RNAcentral.